Molecule: ribosomal RNA, 425 nt
Filed under: uncultured bacterium
Lineage: Bacteria
Description: partial 16S ribosomal RNA
Rfam family: Bacterial small subunit ribosomal RNA
Source: RNAcentral
GUUAGGAAUAUUGGACAAUGGGCGCAAGCCUGAUCCAGCCAUGCCGCGAGAGUGAUGAAGGCCUUCGGGUUGUAAAGCUCUUUAGUCCACGAAUAUAAUGACUGUAGUGGAAGAAUAAGCCCCGGCUAACUUCGUGCCAGCAGCCGCGGUAAUACGAAGGGGGCGAGCGUUAUUCGGAAUCACUGGGCGUAAAGCGUGCGUAGGCUGUUUUGUAAGUCAGAAGUGAAAGCCCAGGGCUUAACCCUGGAAUUGCUUUUGAAACUACAAGACUCGAAUUCGGGAGAGGAUAGCGGAAUUGUCAGUGUAGCAGUGAAAUGCGUAGAUAUUGACAGGAACACCAGUGGCGCAAGCGGCUAUCUGGACCGAUAUUGACGCUGAGGCACGAAAGCGUGGGGAGCAAACAGGAUUAGAUACCCCAGUAGUCC